This 552-nucleotide ribosomal RNA is filed under the name Metschnikowia sp. (in: budding yeasts & allies). RNAcentral's name for it is "Metschnikowia sp. (in: Fungi) partial 28S ribosomal RNA". It matches the Rfam family "Eukaryotic large subunit ribosomal RNA", at positions 50 to 656 of the family's 3401-position model. The record is from RNAcentral. Lineage: Eukaryota; Fungi; Ascomycota; Pichiomycetes; Serinales; Metschnikowiaceae.
GCGGAGGAAAAGAAACCAACAGGGAUUACCUUAGUAACGGCGAGUGAAGCGGUAAAAGCUCAAAUUUGAAAUCCUUAGGGAAUUGUAAUUUGAAGGUGGAGUCAAGGGAAGAACAAACAUUUAAGUCCAUUGGAACAUGGCGCCUUGGAGGGUGACAGCCCCGUGAAAUGUUUCCGUUUAACCUAUAUUUGACUCCUCCAAAGAGUCGAGUUGUUUGGGAAUGCAGCUCUAAGUGGGUGGUAAAUUCCAUCUAAAGCUAAAUAUUGGCGAGAGACCGAUAGCGAACAAGUACAGUGAUGGAAAGAUGAAAAGCACUUUGAAAAGAGAGUGAAACAGUACGUGAAAUUGUUGAAAGGGAAGGGCUUGCAAGCAGACACGAUUUCUUCGGGAAUUGGGCCAGCAUCGGUUGGCGGGGAUAGAUAAGUGGAAAGAAAUGUGGCACCAUUCUUUGAAUGCGUGUGUUAUAGACUUUUCAGAUAUAUCCACUGCCGACCGAGGCCUGCGUUAUCUUAACAAGGAUGCUGGCGUAAUGGUUGCAAGUCGCCCGUCUUG